RNAcentral lists this long non-coding RNA (296 nucleotides) under Gallus gallus (chicken). The record is from RNAcentral. Lineage: Eukaryota; Metazoa; Chordata; Aves; Galliformes; Phasianidae.
AGCGGCUGAGGGAGAGGCGGUCGCUCCGUCUGGAGAAGAGGCGGCUCAGGGGAGGUUUCACCGCUCUACAGUGACCUGAGAGGAGGCUGUGGCGAGGAGCGGGUCGGCCUCUGCUCCUGGGAGACUGACAUCAUCACAGCACAACAAGAAAAAGCCAUCAAGAGCUAUUAAGUAUAAAGGUAUAGCUUCAAAUAAUCCUGAGUUGAGAUGAACCAAAGGCUGAAAAAACUGCAGGAGUACCACCCUACUUGCCUCGUCCAUAUUCUAUUCUACAGGCACCUGUGACUGCUAACUAC